CCCUGAGCUGCUCUGCGGUGCUACCCUUUGUCCCUCCAGACUCUCUUUUCCUUCAUCUGUUUGUCAGUAAACCGAAGCCACCACAGUUUGUCAUUUGGAUGAUUUUCGCCAGAUGGAGAAGCUGCAGCUCCAGACUCUUGACAGCCGCACAACUUCCAAGGCAGUGGCCCCGCGGGCUGCAAACCCCACCUUCCUGCAGUUGCAGAGCCAGCUAAGAGGUGGGCAGCAUGCCAGGCCCCAUCAGCAGCCCCUGGAGCACACACCAAUUGCAGAUGCUCAGGAGACUCGGGGGAAGGAACGGGGUUUUCACCAGAACACCACAGGCAGGACCUCCCAGCAAAGGCCUCCAGAUGCUGUGAAAACCUAAGGCUCGUCCUCCUCCUGGCUUCCCAGGUUACCCAGCCACAACACACAGAUGCUGGGUCUGGGACGGCUCCACUGGAACCUGAGAUGACCUGAGGGUGUCCCAGUGAUAUAACAUAUGAGGAAAGCAGAAACAACUAAGAAAUAGACUCUGAAUGUGGCAGAUUCUAGAACUGAGAGGCGGAAGAGGAGCAGAUCUUCACUUUCCACACCUCAAGGUACUCAGCCAAUCACCUGUUCAUGCCUGAGAUUGUGAAUCCAAUAGGAAAGUACAAGGACAUGGAGAUUGUCAGAGCUGUUGUAUGAUGGUGGCAGCAGAGUCAAGAGUCCAGCGGAGAGGCAGCAAGCAUCCCAAGGAUCCCAUGACUGAGAACCAGCUUCUGUGGUUUAGAAGCAAGGCGCCAACUGGUAUGAGAAGCACAGACAGAUGGUGCCCUGGGAACACUGGCUGUCACGUGCUGGAGGAGGUUCCUCAGCAAGUCACCUUCCCUCCAUGGGCCUCUGUUGGAAAGAAGGCAUCAAGAUCAUUCCAGCUAUGAUUCCUGAGCUUUUAAUAUAUUCUUUCUGAUGAUUAAGAAAUAUAUCUGUCGAGCAUGGCAGCUUACGCCUGUAAUCCUAGCACUUUGUGAGGCCGAGGCGGGUGGAUCAUGAGGUCAGGAGUUCAAGACCAGCCUGACCAACAUGGUGAAACCUCGUGUCUACUAAAAAUACAAAAAUUAGCCGGGUGUUGUGGUGUGUGCUUGUAAUCCCAGCUACUCGGGAGGCUGAGGCAGGAGAAACACUUGAACCCGGGAGGCGGAGGUUGCAGUGAGCUGACAUCACGCCACUGCCCUCCAGCCUGGGUAACAGAGUGAGACUCCAUCUCAAAGAAAAAAAGAGAUAUAUCUGCAUGUGACAUGGAAAGAGGCUCAGAAUAUCAGACAUUUUACUACAGAUCUUGAAAACAGCUCUCCAAAACUAACUCCAGAUCCACCCUGGGGUUCUCAACUCCACAUGGUUUUCUAAAAUUGAGACCAAGACUAAGAUGAAGAGCUAUGCCUCGCCCUGAUGCUGCCAGGACUACUGUUCCCAUGACUACCUUGAGGUGCAGGCUGAGACCCUGGGUGUCUGUGGUGGCAGAGUACAGCAGAGGAGUUGGAGUCAAAGCAGUUUGGAUCCUCAUCCCAGCUGGGCCUCCUGAUGUUGGAGGGCCCUGGACAAAGGGUUUUCAUUUGCUGGGUCUCAGUUCUCCACAUGGACAACAAUGCACUGUAUGAGUUUUAAGGUUCUUUUCAGCUCUGACUCUCUGUGAGUCUGAAUCCAGUAGGAGCUAUUAUUUCCUUGAUUCCUCCUUACUGUUUUGUUCCCUUCUUCUCUGGUUUCUGUAUUAAAACUUUAUAUGUUUAUGAAUGGAUAAUCAAAAUGUGGUAUAUCCAUAUCAUGGAAUAUUAUACAGCCAUGAAAAGGAAUGAAGUACUGAUGCAUGCUACAACAUGGAUGAACCUUAAAAACACUAGGCUAAGUGAAAGAAGCCAGUCUCCAAAGACCAUAUGUGGUAUGAUUUCAUUGAUAUGAAAUGCUCAGAAUAGGCAGAUUUGUAGUGACAGAAAGUACAUUAGUGGCUGCCUAGGGCUAGGAAGAGAUGAGGAGUGACUCUCAAUGAGUACAGGAUUUCUUUUGGAAGUGAUGAAAAUGUUCAAAAAUUGAUUGCAGUGAUGGCUGUACAACUCUGUGAAUAUAUGAAAAACCCUUGAAUUAUACAAUUGAAAUUGGUGAAUUGUAUGGUAUAUGAAUUGUAUCUGAAUAAAGCUGUUAAAAAAACG
RNAcentral lists this long non-coding RNA (2165 nucleotides) under Homo sapiens (human). RNAcentral describes it as "non-protein coding LINC02037:8". The record is from RNAcentral. Lineage: Eukaryota; Metazoa; Chordata; Mammalia; Primates; Hominidae.